CAUUCAUAAUCAGUUUCCAGGGCCGUCCCCAUACCCCGUCCGGUAUGGGCGCCAAAACCAUAAACCUCAAUACCCCGUCCGGUAUGAGGGUGAAACGGGCCGUCCCCAUACCCCGUCCGGUAUGGGCGCCAAAACCAUAAAUCUCAAUACCCCGUCCGGUAUGAGGGUGAAACGGGCCGUCCCCAUACCCCGUCCGGUAUGGGCGCCAAAAC
This 212-nucleotide long non-coding RNA is filed under the name Carica papaya (papaya). Its description in RNAcentral is "long non-coding RNA (CPAP_LNC006310)". Lineage: Eukaryota; Viridiplantae; Streptophyta; Magnoliopsida; Brassicales; Caricaceae. The record is from RNAcentral.